GUCGAAAAUGUUGUCUCUCUUGAGUGGAUCCUGAGUACGACGGAGCACGUGAAAUUCCGUCGGAAUCUGGGAGGACCAUCUCCUAAGGCUAAAUACUCUCUAGUGACCGAUAGUGAACCAGUACCGUGAGGGAAAGGUGAAAAGCACCCCGGAAGGGGAGUGAAAUAGAACCUGAAACCGUGUGCUUACAAGUAGUCAGAGCCCGUUAAUGGGUGAUGGCGUGCCUUUUGUAGAAUGAACCGGCGAGUUACGAUUUGAUGCAAGGUUAAGCAGUAAAUGUGGAGCCGUAGCGAAAGCGAGUCUGAAUAGGGCGUUUAGUAUUUGGUCGUAGACCCGAAACCAGGUGAUCUACCCUUGGUCAGGUUGAAGUUCAGGUAACACUGAAUGGAGGACCGAACCGACUUACGUUGAAAAGUGAGCGGAUGAACUGAGGGUAGCGGAGAAAUUCCAAUCGAACCUGGAGAUAGCUGGUUCUCUCCGAAAUAGCUUUAGGGCUAGCCUCAAGUGAUGAUUAUUGGAGGUAGAGCACUGUUUGGACGAGGGGCCCCUCUCGGGUUACCGAAUUCAGACAAACUCCGAAUGCCAAUUAAUUUAACUUGGGAGUCAGAACAUGGGUGAUAAGGUCCGUGUUCGAAAGGGAAACAGCCCAGACCACCAGCUAAGGU
Molecule: ribosomal RNA, 665 nt
Filed under: Staphylococcus aureus
Lineage: Bacteria; Bacillati; Bacillota; Bacilli; Caryophanales; Staphylococcaceae
Description: partial 23S ribosomal RNA
Rfam family: Bacterial large subunit ribosomal RNA
Source: RNAcentral